UUGGCGGACAUUACCUACCCAAAAUACACACUUCUUUACAUUCCAUAGCAUUCUAUGUUCAUAUGGGUACAUAAAGAAGUAUGUGCUCUGAGUAGGCACUAUUGUGCCGAU
This is a microRNA precursor of Rattus norvegicus (Norway rat), 111 nucleotides long. Ensembl annotates it as microRNA 3571. Lineage: Eukaryota; Metazoa; Chordata; Mammalia; Rodentia; Muridae. The record is from Ensembl.